UAAGAUGGCUGAAAUAAGUGGUGGAUUGUAGCUCCAUAUAUAAAGGUUUAAAUCCUUUUCUUAC
This 64-nucleotide transfer RNA is filed under the name Anablepsoides ophiomimus. Its description in RNAcentral is "tRNA-Tyr". It matches the Rfam family "tRNA". Rfam says of the family: Transfer RNA (tRNA) molecules are approximately 80 nucleotides in length. Their secondary structure includes four short double-helical elements and three loops (D, anti-codon, and T loops). Further hydrogen bonds mediate the characteristic L-shaped molecular structure. tRNAs have two regions of fundamental functional importance: the anti-codon, which is responsible for specific mRNA codon recognition, and the 3' end, to which the tRNAs corresponding amino acid is attached (by aminoacyl-tRNA synthetases). tRNAs cope with the degeneracy of the genetic code in two manners: having more than one tRNA (with a specific anti-codon) for a particular amino acid; and 'wobble' base-pairing, i.e. permitting non-standard base-pairing at the 3rd anti-codon position. Lineage: Eukaryota; Metazoa; Chordata; Actinopteri; Cyprinodontiformes; Rivulidae. The record is from RNAcentral. RNAcentral also lists the same sequence under 5 other names.